UAUUUGCAUUCGAAUUAAGGUUGUGAUUGAAAUGUUACAAAUCACAUUAAAAGGGAAUUUGGUGUAAAACCAAAGCUGUUCCCGCAACUGUAAGCUAUUUAGCUCGCUGUUAUCUACAAACCACUGUCCUGCAUGGGAUGGGAAGGUAAACAGCAAGACGCAAGCCAGGAGACCUGCCUUUCUUCUUAACAAUUA
RNAcentral lists this non-coding RNA (195 nucleotides) under Flavobacterium sp. RNAcentral also lists the same sequence under 1 other name. The record is from RNAcentral. Lineage: Bacteria; Pseudomonadati; Bacteroidota; Flavobacteriia; Flavobacteriales; Flavobacteriaceae.